AUGGCACUGUGGAAAAGUGCCAUUGUGAUCAUAGUUUUAUAUAUCUGGGGUUGUAAUUCUCAAGACAAAGUUGAUCAGCAUACAAAGAUUCAAUCUGCUUUUGAAGGUGAUACUGUAACGAUCGACUGUACAUAUCAGACUGCUUAUGCAAACCCGACUCUCUUCCGGUACCAGCAGAAAGACAAUGGAAAUCCCAAGUACAUGUUAAAUAAAUAUUCUAAGUCUGGAAACAGUGAGGAAGAAUUCAAAGAGAGAUUUCAUGUGAAUCUCAACAAAACUGCAGUUCCUCUGACAAUCCAGGAUGUGCGUGUGUCUGACUCUGCUGUGUACUACUGUGCUCUGAGGCCCACUGUGACUGAAACACAUUCAACACUCAUACAAAAACUAUGA
Molecule: non-coding RNA, 390 nt
Organism: Sinocyclocheilus rhinocerous
Lineage: Eukaryota; Metazoa; Chordata; Actinopteri; Cypriniformes; Cyprinidae
Source: the annotation of a RefSeq genome assembly